Molecule: non-coding RNA, 127 nt
Organism: Brassica napus (rape)
Lineage: Eukaryota; Viridiplantae; Streptophyta; Magnoliopsida; Brassicales; Brassicaceae
Source: Rfam
AGAAUAUAAAAAACUGUCUCUUAACUUUUAACUAAAACAACUAAGAACCGGCUCUUAAAUAUCUUAUAUAAGAGCCGGUUCUUAACUUUUUUUUAGUUAAAAGUUAAGAGAUAGUUUCUUAUAUUCC